CGAACGCUGGCGGCGUGCUUAACACAUGCAAGUCGAACGGUAAGGCCCUUCGGGGUACACGAGUGGCGAACGGGUGAGUAACACGUGGGUGAUCUGCCCUGCACUUUGGGAUAAGCCUGGGAAACUGGGUCUAAUACCGAAUAGGACUCCGGACUGCAUGGUGUGUGGUGGAAAGCUUUUGCGGUGUGGGAUGGGCCCGCGGCCUAUCAGCUUGUUGGUGGGGUGAUGGCCUACCAAGGCGACGACGGGUAGCCGGCCUGAGAGGGUGACCGGCCACACUGGGACUGAGAUACGGCCCAGACUCCUACGGGAGGCAGCAGUGGGGAAUAUUGCACAAUGGGCGCAAGCCUGAUGCAGCGACGCCGCGUGAGGGAUGACGGCCUUCGGGUUGUAAACCUCUUUCAGCACAGACGAAGCGCAAGUGACGGUAUGUGCAGAAGAAGGACCGGCCAACUACGUGCCAGCAGCCGCGGUAAUACGUAGGGUCCGAGCGUUGUCCGGAAUUACUGGGCGUAAAGAGCUCGUAGGCGGUGUGUCGCGUCGGCCGUGAAAACCUGGGGCUCAACUCUGGGCGUGCGGUCGAUACGGGCAACUUGAGUUCGGCAGGGGAGACUGGAAUUCCUGGUGUAGCGGUGAAAUGCGCAGAUAUCAGGAGGAACACCGGUGGCGAAGGCGGGUCUCUGGGCCGAUACUGACGCUGAGGAGCGAAAGCAUGGGUAGCGAACAGGAUUAGAUACCCUGGUAGUCCAUGCCGUAAACGUUGGGCGCUAGGUGUGGGGUCCAUUCCACGGGUUCCGUGCCGCAGCUAACGCAUUAAGCGCCCCGCCUGGGGAGUACGGCCGCAAGGCUAAAACUCAAAGGAAUUGACGGGGGCCCGCACAAGCGGCGGAGCAUGUGGAUUAAUUCGAUGCGA
Molecule: ribosomal RNA, 913 nt
Filed under: Mycobacterium sp. S088
Lineage: Bacteria; Bacillati; Actinomycetota; Actinomycetes; Mycobacteriales; Mycobacteriaceae
Description: bacterial SSU rRNA
Rfam family: Bacterial small subunit ribosomal RNA
Source: RNAcentral